RNAcentral lists this long non-coding RNA (1536 nucleotides) under Cyanoderma ruficeps (rufous-capped babbler). Its description in RNAcentral is "lncRNA (ENSCRFG00000014947.1)". The record is from RNAcentral. Lineage: Eukaryota; Metazoa; Chordata; Aves; Passeriformes; Timaliidae.
AUGUACAACCUGAGCUACCAAAGCCCUGCGAGAGCUGCCCUUCUCCCUGCUAGCGCCAGCAGAGAGACACAUCCAAGGGGCCUUUGCUGCUCGGCACGGUGGGACACGGACAAGAGCGACGGCCUCGGAUUUCGGGGCGGGCAGUGGGGUCAAUGCCAGACCCCGGCACAGCCCCUGCGGCGGCUGCUCUGCACCUGCCCUGCUCCUUCAGAGACUCCAGGAUGCUCCAGCCCGGCCAUCCCGCGGAGCGGGAGCGACACGCACAGUGAGCCAGGGCACGAGCCUGUCCCGGCUCCCCCUUGGCUCCCCUCGGCCUUUUUAACUAAAACCCAGAAGCCAAGAAGAAGCAGCCGUUCGGCCGCAGUCUCCAUCCACAGCCCUGUCCGUCUGUCCUCCGUCGUCUCCAUGCUCAUCCUACCCCAAUGCCUUGGCCGCGCUUGCCAGGCCCCCUGUGGCUGGUGGGGGGAUCAAGGGGGAGCCCCCGGUGUGCCCAGGGCAGCAGGCUGGGAGUCCCCAGAGAGAGCCUCUGUCCCCCGGGACAGCAGCUCAGCCUCGCCUGGGCGCUCCCGGCACGAGGAUUCAGCACCUCCACCUGUCCACCUGUCUUCCUUGGCUCCUGACCCAGGAUCAGCCCCAGGAUCAGCCCCAGGAGCAGCCCAGGAUCAGCCCCGGGAUCAACCCUGGGAUCAGCCCCAGGAGCAGCCCAGGAUCAGCCCCAGGAGCAGCCCCGGGAGCAGCUCUGGGAUCAGUCCCGGGAUCAGCCCUGGGAUCAGCCCUGGGAUCAGUCCCGGGAUCAGCCCCGGGAUCAGCCUCAGGAGCAGCCCUGGGAUCAGCCCUGGGAUCAGCCCUGGGAUCAGCCCUGGGAGCAGCCCUGGGAUCAGCCCUGGGAGCAGCCCUGGGAUCAGCCCUGGGAUCAGCCCUGGGAUCAGUCCUGGGAUCAGCCCUGGGAUCAGCCCCGGGAGCACCGGAGGGGGCUCAGCUGGGAGGUGCCCCCUCGGCUCUGAGGCCACCAGGCCGGUCCCUCCCCACCCGCCCCUCCUGUGCUCCGGGCAGCCUGGCCAGUUCCAGCACUGCCCUGCAGUCCCUCCCAUCCCCAGGGAACCCUGUGGCCCCAAACUCAGCCAUCCUCGGGGGGAGAAAGGCAGAAGGAAACUCCUGGCCCCAUUUGGCCACAGCCCCCAGCUGGGGACACCCCCUUGGCACCACCGUGGCUGGGCGGGCACUGGAGCCCCAAAGCCCCUCCAGGGUCACAGGGGGCUCUGGGGGCACAGCUCCAGCCCUGCUGAGCCCCACCAGUGCUGCCCCGGGGGGUUUGGGGUGUCUGUGGGUUCCCAGGGCUGUUCCCCAUUCCCUGGCACAGCCCUGGCCAGGGUCUGUGGCCACUGGAUCACUGCCCCCUGGUCCUGUCAGUGCUCAUCACUCCCCUCCGGGGUCCCCAUUUGGCCCCCCAGCCCGUCUCCCAGCCCCCAGGCCAGAGCCCUUCCCCGGGCCCAAGUGCUACUUAUCUUUAAGAGCUUUUGCAAUAAGUCUUUUUAG